Molecule: long non-coding RNA, 387 nt
Filed under: Salvia miltiorrhiza (redroot sage)
Lineage: Eukaryota; Viridiplantae; Streptophyta; Magnoliopsida; Lamiales; Lamiaceae
Description: long non-coding RNA (SMIL_LNC014449)
Source: RNAcentral
CACCGCCUUAAGCCUUAUCACGAGCUUGCUGAAAUAGAAAAGGAGAAGGAGGAAUGCUACCUCCUCGACCCUGAGUACGAGUGAAGAGUGAAGGGAGGUCGAGCUCAAGACGGGAAACAAGAGCGCUUGCUGGGAGGCAACCCAGCGUGGUUACUUCGGUAUGGUCUAUACCGACUUUUUCUUUUCUUUUCUUUUAAGUUGUUUUGUUUCGUGUUUGGAUGCACUAACUUGCAGGUAAGUCGGGCCGAGAUAAUUGGAAAAAGGCCCAGAGGUUGAUCCGAGCCCACUUUGCGUUGCAAAGUGUGUAGGUGGAGAGCUAGGGAUUGGAACGGUCUGGGAGAGGGCUUACGCAGGGAAAUGACGCAAGCGUGUCAGGGGCAGGCGGCG